GGGGAAUCUUGCGCAAUGGGCGAAAGCCUGACGCAGCAACGCCGCGUGGGGGAUGACGGCCUUCGGGUUGUAAACCUCUUUCGACACCGACGAAGCCAUCUUCGGGUGGUGACGGUAGGUGUAGAAGAAGCACCGGCUAACUACGUGCCAGCAGCCGCGGUAAUACGUAGGGUGCGAGCGUUGUCCGGAUUUAUUGGGCGUAAAGAGCUCGUAGGCGGUUUGUCGCGUCUAUCGUGAAAACCGGGAGCUUAACUCCUGGCUUGCGGUGGAUACGGGCAGACUUGAGUUCGGUAGGGGAGACUGGAAUUCCUGGUGUAGCGGUGAAAUGCGCAGAUAUCAGGAGGAACACCGGUGGCGAAGGCGGGUCUCUGGGCCGAUACUGACGCUGAGGAGCGAAAGCGUGGGGAGCGAAC
This 413-nucleotide ribosomal RNA is filed under the name uncultured bacterium. RNAcentral describes it as "bacterial SSU rRNA". It matches the Rfam family "Bacterial small subunit ribosomal RNA", at positions 356 to 773 of the family's 1533-position model. The record is from RNAcentral.